Molecule: transfer RNA, 73 nt
Filed under: Bacteroidota bacterium
Lineage: Bacteria; Pseudomonadati; Bacteroidota
Also listed under: 9 other names
Description: tRNA-Gly
Rfam family: tRNA
About the family: Transfer RNA (tRNA) molecules are approximately 80 nucleotides in length.
Source: RNAcentral
GCGGGAGUAGCUCAGUUGGUAGAGCAUCAGCCUUCCAAGCUGAGGGUCGCGAGUUCGAGCCUCGUCUCCCGCU